GAUGAACGCUAGCUACAGGCUUAACACAUGCAAGUCGAGGGGUAACAAGAGAAAAGCUUGCUUUUCUUGUUGACGACCGGCGCGCGGGUGAGUAACGCGUAUCCAACCUGCCCCCAACUAGGGAAUAACCUUGCGAAAGUAAGACUAAUACCCUAUAAUUUCCUCAGAUGUCAUCUGACGAGGAAUAAAGAUUUAUCGGUUGUGGAUGGGGAUGCGUCUGAUUAGCUUGUUGGCGGGGUAACGGCCCACCAAGGCAACGAUCAGUAGGGGUUCUGAGAGGAAGGUCCACCACAUUGGAACUGAGACACGGUCCAAACUCCUACGGGAGGCAGCAGUGAGGAAUAUUGGUCAAUGGGCGGAAGCCUGAACCAGCCAAGUAGCGUGCAGGAUGACGGCCCUAUGGGUUGUAAACUGCUUUUAUACAGGAAUAAAGUUAGCCACGUGUGGUUAUUUGUAGGUACUGUAUGAAUAAGGACCGGCUAAUUCCGUGCCAGCAGCCGCAGUAA
Molecule: ribosomal RNA, 506 nt
Filed under: uncultured bacterium
Lineage: Bacteria
Description: partial 16S ribosomal RNA
Rfam family: Bacterial small subunit ribosomal RNA
Source: RNAcentral